Oncorhynchus mykiss (rainbow trout) is the source of this 1184-nucleotide non-coding RNA. The record is from RefSeq and is a predicted model, not a curated record. Lineage: Eukaryota; Metazoa; Chordata; Actinopteri; Salmoniformes; Salmonidae.
CAUUUGCACACACUGUUCAUAGAUUUUUCUAUUGUGUUAUUGACUCUACGUUUGUUUGUAACUCUUUUGUUUUUGUCGCACUGCUUUGCUUUAUCUUGGCCAGGUCGCAGUUGUAAAUGAGAACUUGUUCUCAACUGGCCUACCUGGUUAAAUAAAGGUGAAAUAAAAAAAUGAAGACCAUCAGUCGGUUGAUGCAGUCAUUUUGAGCGAGGAUGGAAGCCCCUCACGAAAGCAUCAAAGAUCUGAUGACGAGGCAAACAAUCUAAUAGAGAGAAUAAUUAAGGAAAAGCCUGGUGGAGAGGUUGUCAUCAAGGAGUACUACAAAACUAAAAGCCUGAUUGACUGCACCAGACGAAAGAUGAUCAAUAUUCUUGUUUCGGCGAUGACAGACUCUCACGGGUAAGUUUAAAGUAAAGAUGCAUAAUGAAAAUUGUUGAGCAUUACUAGCUCUCAUAUCUGCUCAAUGUUAAAAAUGACUUCUGUAUCAGUAUCUCAGUCACAUAAUUGGUUAGGCUAAUGCUUACCAUCCACUGCUAUUGGUAGAAGAUUUCUCUUGUAUCAAAUUCGAUGGGCAUGAUACUGAUUCAAAAAUCACUCCUGAUAUUUAGCUUACUGGGGACCAAAGCAAAUGGGAUUUGGUUAUUUGUUUUUUCUUUCAAGAUUAGUAACCAUGUUCAUUUUCUUAAAGAACAAUAUUACGACCCUAAUAUUAAAGGGUACCUCGCGUAUCGAAUGAAAACCGUUCAGAGGUAUUUGGCUUCAUCUGAGAAACGGCCCACUCAACUAUAAUAUGGAGGGCCAGCUGCUGAGAGGGAGUCCAGUUCAUCCACUUUGGCUACCCUGAGUGAAGACCGGUGCAGAGAUGCCAUUCCUCUUAUGAAGCAUUGUUCUGAUGAAAGUCAAACAGAAGAUGAGAUUGACCUUUGAGUACAGGAAGAAGAUGACCCACGACCCGAGUAAAUGCUCCACCAUCCUAACCGAAUUUCCACGCUUUCUGGAUGUGAAGGGCUUGAUUGAACAGUGUUUUGUGCUGCUGUUUGGAGAGGGAACAUCAAGUUUUUGGAGAGGUGACCAACUAUAUUCAAGCAAAAGAUCAUCAUGAUAAGCAAGGCCACUCAGGGAGCUGAACUUCAGGAGCUGAUCCAGAUGGCAGAUUCUGCAGUUAAUGAGGGAGCUGACAUGAA